AUGGGUUUCAAUACUGAAACCCUAUAUUUACCAACCCUUUGCUACGUCGUCGUUUCCAUCAUCUCUGUCGCUUCUUAUUACUGCGAAUCAAAGAAAAAAGAAGAGAUUCGAGGAGGGGAUACAAAUAUCAGAGAGAUCGAAAGCUCGGGAGUUCACGCCCGACGAGGCUUGGAUUCUUUGGUUGAUCUUCAACCAAAGAUCGCCCGUCCACGGCGGUUUAAGUUGAUGUUUGGUGGUGGAUGGAGAAGGAAGAAGAAGUUAUAG
Vicia faba (fava bean) is the source of this 264-nucleotide non-coding RNA. The record is from the annotation of a GenBank genome assembly. NCBI's taxonomy places the organism in Eukaryota, Viridiplantae, Streptophyta, Magnoliopsida, Fabales, Fabaceae.